GACAGAGGUGCCAAGCGUUAGGCGGAAUCACUGGGCUUAAAGCGUGUGUAGGCGGAUUUGUAAGUACCUUGUGAAAUCCCACGGCUCAACCGUGGAACUGCUCGGUAUACUGCUUAUCUUGAGCCACUUAGGGGCUACCGGAACAAAUGGUGGAGCGGUGAAAUGCGUAGAUAUCAAGAGGAACACCUGAGGUGAAGACGGGUUGCUGGGCUGACACUGACGCUGAGGCGCGAAAGCCAGGGGAGCAAACGGG
This 253-nucleotide ribosomal RNA is filed under the name uncultured bacterium. RNAcentral describes it as "partial 16S ribosomal RNA". It matches the Rfam family "Bacterial small subunit ribosomal RNA", at positions 524 to 776 of the family's 1533-position model. The record is from RNAcentral.